RNAcentral lists this ribosomal RNA (380 nucleotides) under uncultured eukaryote. RNAcentral describes it as "partial 18S ribosomal RNA". It matches the Rfam family "Eukaryotic small subunit ribosomal RNA", at positions 592 to 976 of the family's 1831-position model. The record is from RNAcentral.
CAAUAGCGUAUAUUAAAGUUGUUGCAGUUAAAAAGCUCGUAGUUGGAUUUGUGGCGUACGGUGUGUUCCGGGUACUUGUUGUCUGAGUAACCUGCUGUUGCCAUCCUUGGGUGGAACCUGUGUGGCAUUAGGUUGUCGUGCAGGGGAUGCCCAUCAUUUACUGUGAAAAAAUUAGAGUGUUCAAAGCAGGCUUAUGCCGUUGAAUAUAUUAGCAUGGAAUAAUGAGAUAGGACUUUUUUGCUAUUUUGUUGGUUUGCGCAAAGAGGUAAUGAUUAAUAGGGACAGUUGGGGGUAUUCGUAUUCCAUUGUCAGAGGUGAAAUUCUUGGAUUUUUGGAAGACGAACUACUGCGAAAGCAUUUACCAAGGAUGUUUUCAUUAA